AGUGAACGCUGGCGGUAGGCCUAACACAUGCAAGUCGAACGGCAGCACAGUAAGAGCUUGCUCUUACGGGUGGCGAGUGGCGGACGGGUGAGGAAUACAUCGGAAUCUACUUUUUCGUGGGGGAUAACGUAGGGAAACUUACGCUAAUACCGCAUACGACCUACGGGUGAAAGCAGGGGAUCUUCGGACCUUGCGCGAUUGAAUGAGCCGAUGUCGGAUUAGCUAGUUGGCGGGGUAAAGGCCCACCAAGGCGACGAUCCGUAGCUGGUCUGAGAGGAUGAACAGCCACACUGGAACUGAGACACGGUCCAGACUCCUAAGGGAGGCAGCAGUGGGGAAUAUUGGACAAUGGGCGCAAGCCUGAUCCAGCCAUACCGCGUGGGUGAAGAAGGCCUUCGGGUUGUAAAGCCCUUUUGUUGGGAAAGAAAAGCAGCAGGUUAAUACCCCGCUGUUCUGACGGUACCCAAAGAAUAAGCACCGGCUAACUUCGUG
This 492-nucleotide ribosomal RNA is filed under the name uncultured bacterium. RNAcentral describes it as "partial 16S ribosomal RNA". It matches the Rfam family "Bacterial small subunit ribosomal RNA", at positions 29 to 507 of the family's 1533-position model. The record is from RNAcentral.